CCCAAGGGUUGGGCUGUUCGCCCAUUAAAGUGGUACGCGAGCUGGGUUCAGAACGUCGUGAGACAGUUCGGUCCCUAUCCGUCGCAGGCGUAGGAAAUUUGAGAAGACCUGUCCUUAGUACGAGAGGGCCGGGAUGGACGUACCUCUGGUGUACCAGUUGUCCUGCCAAGGGCAUGGCUGGGUAGCUAUGUACGGAAUGGAUAAGCGCUGAAAGCAUCUAAGCGCGAAGCCAACUUCAAGAUAAGAUUUCCCACCG
RNAcentral lists this ribosomal RNA (256 nucleotides) under Clostridioides difficile. RNAcentral's name for it is "partial 23S ribosomal RNA". It matches the Rfam family "Bacterial large subunit ribosomal RNA", at positions 2564 to 2819 of the family's 2925-position model. Lineage: Bacteria; Bacillati; Bacillota; Clostridia; Peptostreptococcales; Peptostreptococcaceae. The record is from RNAcentral.